Molecule: long non-coding RNA, 472 nt
Organism: Xenia sp. Carnegie-2017
Lineage: Eukaryota; Metazoa; Cnidaria; Anthozoa; Malacalcyonacea; Xeniidae
Exons: 2
Source: RefSeq, a predicted model, not a curated record
CGCCAAAGUCUUCACAGCAUAAUGCUAAAUAUUCAACUUCUAAAAGAAAAGAAAAUGAGAAAAAUAGUACGAAUCUGUGCACAAAGCAAGUCAAUCGCAAAUGACGAUGAAUUGAUGACAUCACAUAGCUUUAUACCAGAGGGUGCGAAAAGGAUUGUGGGCCAUAAAUGACAUGCGAAAAAACCAGGAAACCUGUUUAAAAACCGGUUUUCAUUGAUGUCCCAAUCCCCAAUUUCCUGCAACAUCCUACAUUUAUUCUAAACUUUUUGCAAAAUGGAGAAAAAACUACCAUUUUCUUAUUUUUCUUGUCCGAAAGACGAAGGUCCAUUAAUGUAUCACGUCUUUCAGGAAAUUAUAGUUUAAUCCAACAUCGAAACGCUGUCGCUCUCAAACAACGACGCGUCUUCUGUUUUUAUGCAGAACUUGUUACUUGUCUUAAGAAAUUUUAAUGAAGGAAUAUCGAUCGUAAAAA